GACGAACGCUGGCGGCAUGCCUAAUACAUGCAAGUCGAGCGAACAGAUGAAGUGCUUGCACUUCUGACGUUAGCGGCGAACGGGUGAGUAACACGUAAGGAAUCUACCUAUAAGCGGGGGAUAACAUUCGGAAACGGGUGCUAAUACCGCAUAAUAUCUUCUUCCGCAUGGAAGAAGAUUGAAAGACGGCUCUGCUGUCACUCAUAGAUGACCUUGCGGUGCAUUAGUUAGUUGGUGGGGUAAUGGCCUACCAAGACAAUGAUGCAUAGCCGACCUGAGAGGGUGAUCGGCCACAUUGGGACUGAGACACGGCCCAAACUCCUACGGGAGGCAGCAGUAGGGAAUCUUCCGCAAUGGGCGAAAGCCUGACGGAGCAAUGCCGCGUGAGUGAAGAAGGCCUUCGGGUCGUAAAACUCUGUUAUAAGAGAAGAACAAAUUGUAGAGUAACUGCUACAGUCUUGACGGUAUCUUAUCAGAAAGCCACGGCUAACUACGUGCCAGCCGCCGCAGUAA
This 513-nucleotide ribosomal RNA is filed under the name uncultured bacterium. RNAcentral describes it as "partial 16S ribosomal RNA". It matches the Rfam family "Bacterial small subunit ribosomal RNA", at positions 28 to 523 of the family's 1533-position model. The record is from RNAcentral.